RNAcentral lists this small RNA (712 nucleotides) under Pongo abelii (Sumatran orangutan). RNAcentral describes it as "retained intron". Lineage: Eukaryota; Metazoa; Chordata; Mammalia; Primates; Hominidae. The record is from RNAcentral.
ACCAUAGAGAGAGGCAAGGAUGAAGCCGAGAGGAUACUGCAGAGGUCUCUGGUGCAUGUGUGUAUGUGUGCGUUUGUGUGUGUUUGUGUGUCUGUAUGUUCUGCCCCAGUGAGACUGCAGCCCUUGUAAAUACUUUGUCACCUUUUGCAAGAAGGAAUCUGAACAAUUGCAACUGAAGGCACAUUGUUAUCAUCUCGUCUUUGGGUGAUGCUGUUCCUCACUGCAGAUGGAUAAUUUUCCUUUUAAUCAGGUUUGGGCAAUUAUGAAUAAAGCUGCUGUAUACAUCCAUGUGCAGGAUUUUGUGUGGACAUAAGUUUUCAACUCCUUUGGGUUAAAUCCUAAGGAAUUUCAUAUGCAGAAUAAAUGGUAAUUAAAAUGUGCAGGAUGACAAGAUGGAGCAAACAGUGCUUGUACCACCAGGACCUGACAGCUUCAACUUCUUCACCAGAGAAUCUCUUGCGGCUAUUGAAAGACGCAUUGCAGAAGAAAAGGCUAAGAAUCCCAAACCAGACAAAAAAGAUGACGAUGAAAAUGGCCCAAAGCCAAAUAGUGACUUGGAAGCUGGAAAGAACCUUCCAUUUAUUUAUGGAGACAUUCCUCCAGAGAUGGUGUCAGAGCCCCUGGAGGACCUGGACCCCUACUAUAUCAAUAAGAAAGUGAGUGUUUUUUAUCAGGCAUAUUUUGCUGCUAAUUGCCUACUGCAUUCCUUGGA